GAUGAACGCUGGCGGCGUGCCUAAUACAUGCAAGUAGAACGCUGAAGCUUGGUGCUUGCACCGAGCGGAUGAGUUGCGAACGGGUGAGUAACGCGUAGGUAACCUGCCUCUUAGCGGGGGAUAACUAUUGGAAACGAUAGCUAAUACCGCAUAAAAGUCGAUAUCGCAUGAUAUUGAUUUGAAAGGUGCAAAUGCAUCACUAAGAGAUGGACCUGCGUUGUAUUAGCUAGUUGGUGAGGUAACGGCUCACCAAGGCGACGAUACAUAGCCGACCUGAGAGGGUGAUCGGCCACACUGGGACUGAGACACGGCCCAGACUCCUACGGGAGGCAGCAGUAGGGAAUCUUCGGCAAUGGGGGCAACCCUGACCGAGCAACGCCGCGUGAGUGAAGAAGGUUUUCGGAUCGUAAAGCUCUGUUGUAAGAGAAGAACGAGUGUGAGAGUGGAAAGUUCACACUGUGACGGUACUUACCAGAAAG
Molecule: ribosomal RNA, 479 nt
Filed under: Streptococcus parasanguinis
Lineage: Bacteria; Bacillati; Bacillota; Bacilli; Lactobacillales; Streptococcaceae
Description: bacterial SSU rRNA
Rfam family: Bacterial small subunit ribosomal RNA
Source: RNAcentral